AGAGCAGCGGGUUACCCAGAGCGGCUCGGGGGACAGUGGCCACGGGCUGGCAUUCGACAGCAGCAGUGGACUGUUGUAAUGCUCUCCAGACAACCCUGCGGACGCCGUCGACAGGGACGGACAGAACACCCCCCCACCCCCCACACUCGGCGGGACCUUUUCCUGAGCCGUGGAUCUGACAUCACCGCCCACCUGUGCCCACCGAGGGGACAUCUGCUGAGGGAGGAUGAGGCCGAUCUGAGGAGGGGAGGAGUCUGGGCCAGACCUGAGACCAGAAGGAAGUCAGCCACUUCCACACCCAGGGCCAGCUGGCCCACUGGCCAGCGUCCAGCCCCAUACCCGGAAAGCAGAGGCGAGGCAAGGCCAGGCACAGCCCCUGGACCUUCUCAUGGGAAAAGGCUUUCGUAAAAGGUCUGGUGGGAAGGAAUUAGCUUUGACUAACCCCAACCUAACUGAAUGCCUACCACGCACAAGGCCCUGCGCCAGGCAGG
Molecule: non-coding RNA, 491 nt
Organism: Miniopterus natalensis
Lineage: Eukaryota; Metazoa; Chordata; Mammalia; Chiroptera; Miniopteridae
Source: RefSeq, a predicted model, not a curated record